This 71-nucleotide transfer RNA is filed under the name Centropyge deborae (blue velvet angelfish). Its description in RNAcentral is "tRNA-Gly". It matches the Rfam family "tRNA". Rfam says of the family: Transfer RNA (tRNA) molecules are approximately 80 nucleotides in length. Their secondary structure includes four short double-helical elements and three loops (D, anti-codon, and T loops). Further hydrogen bonds mediate the characteristic L-shaped molecular structure. tRNAs have two regions of fundamental functional importance: the anti-codon, which is responsible for specific mRNA codon recognition, and the 3' end, to which the tRNAs corresponding amino acid is attached (by aminoacyl-tRNA synthetases). tRNAs cope with the degeneracy of the genetic code in two manners: having more than one tRNA (with a specific anti-codon) for a particular amino acid; and 'wobble' base-pairing, i.e. permitting non-standard base-pairing at the 3rd anti-codon position. The record is from RNAcentral. Lineage: Eukaryota; Metazoa; Chordata; Actinopteri; Pomacanthidae.
AUCUUUCUAGUACAAACGUAGUAUAAGUGACUUCCAAUCACCCGGUCUUGGUUAAAGCCCAAGGAAAGAUA